AAACUUUUUUCGAAAGAAAAAAAAUCUGUUCUUAUCAGUUUAAUAUCUGAUAUGUCCCCUAUUUGGGGACCAUAUAUUAAAUUGAUUUUUGGAUCUGGGAGAUGGAAUAGGGGCUUGCUCCGUCCACUCCAUGCAUUGACCUGGUAUUGCAGUAUCUCCAGGAAUGGUGCACCCCCU
This 177-nucleotide small nuclear RNA is filed under the name Gouania willdenowi (blunt-snouted clingfish). Its description in RNAcentral is "U2 spliceosomal RNA (ENSGWIG00000009913.1)". It matches the Rfam family "U2 spliceosomal RNA". From Rfam's summary of the family: U2 is a small nuclear RNA (snRNA) component of the spliceosome (involved in pre-mRNA splicing). Complementary binding between U2 snRNA (in an area lying towards the 5' end but 3' to hairpin I) and the branchpoint sequence (BPS) of the intron results the bulging out of an unpaired adenosine, on the BPS, which initiates a nucleophilic attack at the intronic 5' splice site, thus starting the first of two transesterification reactions that mediate splicing. The record is from RNAcentral. Lineage: Eukaryota; Metazoa; Chordata; Actinopteri; Blenniiformes; Gobiesocidae.